UACGAGGGGGGCAAGCGUUGUUCGGAAUUAUUGGGCGUAAAGGGCGCGUAGGCGGUGCGGUAAGUCACCUGUGAAAACUCUGGGCUCAACUCAGAGCCUGCAGGCGAAACUGCCGUGCUGGAGUGUGGGAGAGGUGCGUGGAAUCCCCGGUGUAGCGGUGAAAUGCGUAGAUAUCAGGAGGAACACCAAUGGCGAAGGCAGCUCGCUGGGACGGUACUGACGCUGAGGCGCGAAAGCGUGGGGAGCAAACAGG
This 253-nucleotide ribosomal RNA is filed under the name uncultured bacterium. RNAcentral's name for it is "partial 16S ribosomal RNA". It matches the Rfam family "Bacterial small subunit ribosomal RNA", at positions 524 to 776 of the family's 1533-position model. The record is from RNAcentral.